This 28-nucleotide non-coding RNA is filed under the name Mus musculus (house mouse). Lineage: Eukaryota; Metazoa; Chordata; Mammalia; Rodentia; Muridae. The record is from RNAcentral.
UGACCAUUAUAAGUGUCCAUGAAAGCCA